Molecule: ribosomal RNA, 400 nt
Filed under: phytoplankton environmental sample
Lineage: Eukaryota
Description: partial small subunit ribosomal RNA
Rfam family: Eukaryotic small subunit ribosomal RNA
Source: RNAcentral
AGCUCCAAUAGCGUAUAUUAAAGCUGUUGCGGUUAAAAAGCUCGUAGUUGGAUUUCUGUCAAGGACAACUGGUCCGCCCCUCGGGUGAGCACAUAGUUUGGUCUUGGCAUCUUGUUGGAAACUGUUGCUGCACUUGGUUGUGUGGCGCAGUGUCCAGCACUUUCACUUUGAGGAAAUUGGAGUGUUUCAAGCAGGCACAUGCCUUUGGACACAGUAGCAUGGAAUAAUUAGAUUGGGCUUUUGCUCCAACUUGUCGGUUUCUGGAGCUGAGGUGAGAAUUAAUGGGGAUUGUUGGGGGCAUCCGAAUUUAGCCGUCAGAGGUGAAAUUCUUGGAUCUGCUAAAGACGGACAACUGCGAAAGCGUUUGCCCAGGAUGUUUUCAUUGAUCAAGAACGAAAGU